Strigops habroptila (Kakapo) is the source of this 1877-nucleotide long non-coding RNA. RefSeq lists it as uncharacterized. The transcript has 2 exons. The record is from RefSeq and is a predicted model, not a curated record. Lineage: Eukaryota; Metazoa; Chordata; Aves; Psittaciformes; Psittacidae.
CCGGGUUUAUGUGUCCAACACUGUCUUUGACCUCUUCCCCAAAAGCUCAGGUCGGUUUCCAACAAACUUAACAGAAGGACAAGGAUUGUAAAGAGAAUUUCUAGAAGAUUUUGUGGUGUUUAAUAACUACAUACAAAAGUAAAACCGAAGUUAAUGCUCCAAGGGAUGGCUAUGAAUAAAUAUCAUUAGAUAGAAGAGGAUCAAGAUGAGGCAGAAGAGUAAGACACAAGCAGGUAUUUAUUUAGCUGAUCUUGGAGUGAUUCAUGCAGUCUGCAAGCAUGCUGUAAGCACAGAUAUGAGACUUUUGAUACCUAAAAAGAAUCAGACUGCUCUUUUGAAAGAGACUAAAAAGUUUGUGUUCAUUCUGCAGCUAACCUGUCUGGGAGCUACAGAGGACUUUGCAGACACCAUGCCAUAUGCAGUUACUGGGACCAGAGCAGAAAAAGGAGUAGGCAGCACACCAGGCUGCCGAGGCACAGUUUGUUGCCAGCCAUAGAGGUCAAGUUGAAACUGCCAAGUUUCUCUUGAGAUAUGGUGUGGAUUUGCAUUCUCAGACCCUGCUAGGAAGGAGAGCCCUUCACCUCUGCCAUCACGGCCCUGUGACUGCACUGACCUCCCCCUCGGCUGGGCCAGCGGAGGACAAACUGGGGUGAGCCUUGCCUGCCCGUGGGGCUGGCAGCAGAACAGACAAGCCAUGGUUCCCUUCCAGGGGAGGAGGAGGUCUGCUGGUGCUGUGCCACCCUCCAGCACUGAGAAUCCAGCCUCGCAGUGGGUGCCUGGUCCCCUGUCCUGAAAUACAUAUGGACUCACUUGGUUCUGGCAAAUUUCAAGGGGCAGUCAGUAACUUUCCCAGAGACCCACACUUCAAAUAUAGGUCAUUGCGUGGGAUUUGUAGGGUUUAGUUAUGAAAUAAGCUCAUGUACUGGUGAUGCUGCAGCUAAGAUGACAACUAAUUUGACAGCACAGCUCUCAAACACGCUUUUAAUUUGUAGCUUAAGUAUUUAUAACAUUGUUCCUCAGCCAAACUGUCCAUUUAGUUAAUAUGGUUUGUGGCAGAGCUUGAGCCUGUCUGCGAGUGCUCUUUGGAAUGCUCCUUGCUCGGGUAAUUUCCUAAUAGUUGGCAACAGACCAGGGUGAUACAGUUUAAUGGGUGUUUCAGGGGACUGGAAAUCCCUAGAUCUUUAAUCCAGUUCUGGCCCUGACUGGCUCUAUUGCCUCUGGCAGAUCAGUUAAGGGUUGUUUUGUAAGUAGGGCAGUUUGUCUGCUAUGGAAGAGUGCAGGCAGGGUUGAUGUGCGUGUAAGCGGCUAAUUAUGGUUGCCCAGUGCUUGCUUAGUGUCUCCAACAUUUUAAGCCUCAGGGCUUUUAAGGUCAGGGUUUCCUGAAGCCAGCGAUGGGGUGAAGGGACUUGCCCAUCUGCUUCCAAAGUUUCACACUAGCUCAGGUUCCUUAGAUGCUUUAAAGAUAAAAAUACUACUUAUGGUCUCAUUAUGUCUCUAUGAUCAGUAGAAGGAAACAGAGCUCCUGGUCUGUUUUCUGAGGACUUAUUAAGGACUCUGUCUUGAGCAGUUUCCAUUGUUUUGCUUAGAGACACCUUUCCAAAGAGCUUGGCAUUGAGCUUCCAAUUAACUGCGGAAGAGGUGGUUCUCAGUGGGAACUGAGCACUCCUGGGAACUUGGCCCACUGCCUUUUUGCUUGCAAAGCCCUGUGCAUAGCUGGGAGACUCGACAAAUAACGAACUUGUUGUUCUUGUUUCCUUGUGUAGGAGCAUUUUCUUUAACUGAUACAUAAGGUUGCUGCAUAAAUAUGGCAAUUAGUGAAUUUUGGCCUCAGAACUUCAGUUGUGUUCCAGAUCAGUGCCUGGGAGUAGCCAUAGCCA